UUUGGCCCAGAUCGUUUACCGUGAAAAAAUUAGAGUGUUCAAAGCAGGCAGAUCCAAUUUUCUGCCACCGAAUACAUUAGCAUGGGAUAAUGGAAUAGGACCCUGUCCUCCUAUUUUCAGUUGGUUUUGGCAGCGCGAGGACUAGGGUAAUGAUUAAUAGGGAUAGUUGGGGGCAUUAAUAUUUAAUUGUCAGAGGUGAAAUUCUUGGAUUUAUGAAAGAUUAACUUCUGCGAAAGCAUCUGCCAAGGAUGUUUUCAUUAAUCAAGAACGAAAGUUAGGGGAUCGAAGACGAUCAGAUACCGUCGUAGUCUUAACCAUAAACGAUGCCGACCAGCGAUUAGGAGACGUUGAAUACAAAACACCACCAUCGGUGCGGUCGUCCUUGGCGUCGGUCUUUCGGGGCCGGCGCGGGGACGGCUUACCCCGGUGGCACCGGUGAAUGACUCCCCUAACAGCUUGUGAGACA
This 466-nucleotide ribosomal RNA is filed under the name Acanthamoeba genotype T4. RNAcentral describes it as "SSU rRNA". It matches the Rfam family "Eukaryotic small subunit ribosomal RNA", at positions 737 to 1097 of the family's 1831-position model. The record is from RNAcentral. Lineage: Eukaryota; Discosea; Longamoebia; Acanthamoebidae.